This 446-nucleotide ribosomal RNA is filed under the name Echinocardium sp. EflavH7. Its description in RNAcentral is "partial 16S ribosomal RNA". It matches the Rfam family "Bacterial large subunit ribosomal RNA", at positions 1830 to 2462 of the family's 2925-position model. Lineage: Eukaryota; Metazoa; Echinodermata; Echinoidea; Spatangoida; Loveniidae. The record is from RNAcentral.
CUUGACAUAAUAAACAUAGGGGGUCCUGCCUGCCCAGUGACUGAAAAGUUAAACGGCCGCGGUAUCUUGACCGUGCGAAGGUAGCAUAAUCAUUUGUCUCCUAAAUAGAGACUGGUAUGAAUGSCAAGACGGAGCUCCACUGUCUCCUCCUCUUUAAUCUGAACUUCMCAUUCCCGUGAAGAGGCGGGAAUUAGUUCGUAAGACGAGAAGACCCUGUCGAGCUGUAGUUAAACUUUAAUUGUUACUCACCCUUAGGCCUAACUAAUAAUAUUAAAGAUAGUAGMCCUUAAGGUAUASCAAGUUAAAMCAAGCUUUGAUUGGGSCAAUCCCGGAGAAAGAAAAUCCUCCGUUACUAUAUGGUUAUAUUUAAUCUAAAAUAAAAGAAUUAUUAUUCUUAAAGCAUAAAAAKGAAGACGKGAUCCACUUMCAGUGAUCAAAAGAMCAAG